AUUGAACGCUGGCGGCAGGCCUAACACAUGCAAGUCGAGCGGAUGAAGGGAGCUUGCUCCUGGAUUCAGCGGCGGACGGGUGAGUAAUGCCUAGGAAUCUGCCUGGUAGUGGGGGAUAACGUCCGGAAACGGGCGCUAAUACCGCAUACGUCCUGAGGGAGAAAGUGGGGGAUCUUCGGACCUCACGCUAUCAGAUGAGCCUAGGUCGGAUUAGCUAGUUGGUGGGGUAAAGGCCUACCAAGGCGACGAUCCGUAACUGGUCUGAGGGGAUGAUCAGCCACACUGGAACUGAGACACGGUCCAGACUCCUACGGGAGGCAGCAGUGGGGAAUAUUGGACAAUGGGCGAAAGCCUGAUCCAGCCAUGCCGCGUGUGUGAAGAAGGUCUUCGGAUUGUAAAGCACUUUAAGUUGGGAGGAAGGGCAGUAAGUUAAUACCUUGCUGUUUUGACGUUACCAACAGAAUAAGCACCGGCUAACUUCGUG
Molecule: ribosomal RNA, 484 nt
Filed under: uncultured bacterium
Lineage: Bacteria
Description: partial 16S ribosomal RNA
Rfam family: Bacterial small subunit ribosomal RNA
Source: RNAcentral